Molecule: transfer RNA, 77 nt
Filed under: Oryctolagus cuniculus (rabbit)
Lineage: Eukaryota; Metazoa; Chordata; Mammalia; Lagomorpha; Leporidae
Rfam family: tRNA
About the family: Transfer RNA (tRNA) molecules are approximately 80 nucleotides in length. Their secondary structure includes four short double-helical elements and three loops (D, anti-codon, and T loops).
Source: Rfam by way of RNAcentral
AGCAUUGUAGCUUAGUGGUUAAAGCAGAUGCCUGCAAUGCCAGCAUCUCAGAUGGGUACCAAUUCCCAACACAGCUG